UACGUAGGGGGCAAGCGUUAUCCGGAUUCACUGGGCGUAAAGGGAGCGCAGGCGGCACGGCAAGCCUGGUGUGAAAACCCGGGGCCCAACCCCGGGAGUGCAUUGGGAACUGCCGCGCUAGAGUGCCGGAGGGGUAAGCGGAAUUCCUAGUGUAGCGGUGAAAUGCGUAGAUAUUAGGAGGAACACCAGUGGCGAAGGCGGCUUACUGGACGGUGACUGACGCUGAGGCUCGAAAGCGUGGGGAGCAA
This 248-nucleotide ribosomal RNA is filed under the name uncultured Roseburia sp. RNAcentral describes it as "partial 16S ribosomal RNA". It matches the Rfam family "Bacterial small subunit ribosomal RNA", at positions 524 to 771 of the family's 1533-position model. Lineage: Bacteria; Bacillati; Bacillota; Clostridia; Lachnospirales; Lachnospiraceae. The record is from RNAcentral.